UUAACUCAAUUUUGUAUGGAGUUGGAACAUUUGCAUACGUUUGCCGCUAGGGGCGCUGUUCCAACUGCAUCAUUUUUUUAAUA
Molecule: microRNA precursor, 83 nt
Filed under: Bombyx mori (domestic silkworm)
Lineage: Eukaryota; Metazoa; Arthropoda; Insecta; Lepidoptera; Bombycidae
Description: mir-2807 microRNA precursor family
Rfam family: mir-2807 microRNA precursor family
Source: Rfam by way of RNAcentral